This is a long non-coding RNA of Chroicocephalus ridibundus (black-headed gull), 6005 nucleotides long. RefSeq lists it as uncharacterized. The record is from RefSeq and is a predicted model, not a curated record. The transcript is spliced from 4 exons. Lineage: Eukaryota; Metazoa; Chordata; Aves; Charadriiformes; Laridae.
GGGGGUCCCAGGUUGGGAGGAGAGGCGAGGAGGAGGGAAGGAGCGAUAGGGCUUCGCCGCCCCGGGGCGCUGGUGGCCGCAGGUGGGCUUCAAACUCAGUGCCCUUCAUCACCUGCUUUCCGAGGCCGGAUGGUUGCUUUGUAAUUCCUAGGUAUUUGUAACUUCUUCCCUCUAACAGCCUGAACUAUCCACCCUUUUUUUUUUUUCAUGGAGAUUGGUGGUACGUCAGCAUAAAAAGUUACCUCUCAAGCCGGUGAAGCACUCGAUACCACUCUGGCUGUGCACCCUCCCCCUGGACAGAGUUUAACUGUACUGUUCCAAGAGAGCAUACCUUGCAAAUAGAGCCGGUUUUAACAAAUUAACAUCUCAAUUUGCUGAAAGUUGAGUAAUAAAGUCAGUAAAACAACCAUUUGUUUCUAUAGAAACUAACAUCCUGGCUGAGAUUGUACCAAACUUUGAUUUUCAUUUUUUUUUACUGGAAUUUGCUCCUUUUGCAGCCUCCUCAUUUUCAGGAAAUCAGAAAUUUAGAAAACCGGCUUGGAAAUUUUUAGCAUGUGAGGCAUGCUGUCAAUCACAUAAUAAUGGUACAAAAAAAAAUAAUUCUAUAACUUAGUUCAGUCAGUUAUAACUUAUUUCUGAGGCUGUGUAAUCAUAAACCCUGGAAAUCUCAGUUUGUUCGUCCACUAUCAAAUCUAAGGAAUUUUGCAACUUCCCAUCUGCCAUUCCCAUUUCUUUCCUGGCUCUUCCUCCUGUACAGCCAAAAGGAGCUAAUCCAAGAGUCAGCUGAUGUAACUGCCGCAGCCCAAAGAUUUAGAGAGUUUGUGUAGUUGUUUGGUUUUUUUUUAAAUACAGCUAUCAUUAACAUGAGGAAAUGUGGUAAAGAGAAGAAAUACUCAGUUGAUGUGGUCCGGGUUUCUUAUUCUUAGAUACUGUUUCCCCGUAUGUUCUGUUCUCAAGUGACAGUGAAAUUCAAAUGGAUUUAAAAAUACAAAUAAGUAAUUUAGCUUGUCCUAGAAGGAAAAUCCUAAUGGGUUUCUGGAAGUACCAAAGGCAAGGAAUAGGACUCAUUCUGUUUGGUAGAGACAGUAAGAUUACAGUAGCUGUACUUGUGAAAAUGGGUAGAGCCAUAUUUUACCUUUUUUUUUCCUGUUAGGACAGAGCUAAAAGUUUGUUGUAUUAUUUAGUGCUGCCUUUGAUUGUACCAAAGUUUGUUAGUUUUAUUAUGCUUUUUCUUUCUUGAACAUCAGUCUUUAUGCUUUCCCUGAAAACAUGUAUGUUAUUUAUUGCAGUGAGAGAUUCUUCUAAGGUAUCUUGACCUCAGUCAUUUUAUCAUAAUCACUUGCAUGUUUUAAUAAUCAACUGCAUCUCAAUUUGAUUAUUUUUUUUCCAGACAAAAAAAAAUGAAUAUUUGCCUUUCACAGUCUUUUCCAUUGAGUAGGAAGAUGGGGCACAUGAACUCCUGCAGUGGGUCUUGUUGCGUCCUUGGGAAUACUUUCAGGAGUUUUUGGUAGGGUUUGGGAAGCGCCAUAUAUAUUUGUGUUUGCUCUUGGGAUCAAGAUCUAGUUGUCCAAAGCAUUUACAUUUCCAAAUAACACAACUUGCUCAGUGGAGUUCUCUCAGGGGCCAGGCAUAAGGAAGAGAUUUCCAUUACUCUCUUCCUUCCACCCUUCACACGCAAGCUUUAAAAGUUAAUGGCUUAUGGAAACCUAUUAGAUAAAAGACAGGAAAAGAGCUGGAAAAGCCCAAGGGGGACAUGCGUCUGUUAGGGCUCAGCAGUCUGCUGCUGGCAUUUCCAAGUAAGCCUUUUCUGUAGCUUUAUUUACAUUAUGACUGAACCCCAGUUUUAGCCAUUGCCUAUGGCUGUGCCAAUGCAAACACUCAGCAUAAGCAAAAAUGAAAAAGAAAAAUUAAAAUUGAUUCCACUGGAACUUGUGCUUGGAGCCAGAAUAAACUGGAGUAGUGCAAAUGUCAGCUUUUGUUCACACUAGGAGUUUAUACUGCUGUCUAAAAUGGCAACUAAUCCUAGAAGCGUAGAUGAGAGGACACAAAACCAAGUGUUCAGCUGACGAUGUUGUUAUUCUGACAGGAGUUCGUAACACGGUGGAAGUUCCAGUGCGCUGUCAGAAGUGCCCAUACUUCUCUAACAAGGAUGCAUCUUACUGGUUGACUGUUGAAGUACCAGUGAGUGGUAAGGCAUUGAAUGCCUGUCUUGUCCACCGAUGCAUUUCUUAGAAGAUAAUCAUGCAGUGCGUUCUUCAGUGUCUUAAUAGUGCACACACAGUUUCUCUCUGCCCUGUGUAUUCUCCAGUGACUGAAAAAGGUUAAGCUCUGCUGGGGUCUUCCCCUCAGCUGCGGUACUAACCAGUUCUCCUGCCCCCUCUGUGAUGUUUGGGUCAAUUAAGCUAACAAAGACCUCCGAGACCAGAACCUCGUGUCAGAAUUUGGCCAAAAGAGACUCAGAUGUUCAGAAAUCAAUAUGGAUUUAUUCUGCUGCUCUCAUAAACUAUGAUUUAAAACACGCUGAAGCGCCAGUUCAGCUUAAUAGCCCCUUCUCCUGUACGUCACUGCAAGUAGAAGGCACUGUGCUUUGUAUCUGUCUUCCAAGAUGAGGGAGAGAAGAGCUGAGAGAUACGGGGCUCAGACCGCAAAGACCAACUCACAGGCUGUCAACUGAACUUGGGGUGGGAACCAGAUCCAGACAACAGAUCCCUGAAUUUAGGUGUCUAAUCUCCCACUCCGGUCAGCGGAGACUUCGUCACAACAGUCAAUGGAGCUGGGAGUGUGAGUCAGCUGACGAAACGCCGGUAUCCGUCCUCUGGUGAGCUGAAUCCCUCAUGGCAGUGGGAGGUGGGACACUGAGCUCAUACUGAUGUGUCAACACCUCUGGGUACACAUCUGCAGCCUGGAGGUAAGCCCAGCCCCGACAAGGAUGUACUGAUGACAGGGAUUCAGUCUCCGGCUGCUGGCAUUGUUUCUCCAGCUUAACGAGAGGGGCUGGACACCCCUCGCAAAGGCUGGAGCUGCUGAGCCCUCCGGAUGCUCUGAGCGUGUCGGCCAGCUUCAGCCCCUCUGUGUGGGGCGGAUGAGGACAGACUUUAUACAGGGUAGGCAAAAUGGCACCAGGGAAGAACACCCAAGGCUCUGCAAUAAAGAAACAACAUCGCUCUGUUAAAAUUAUUUUUACAACCUCAAUUGACGAGUUCAGACAAAUAGACUUAACGGAGCCUUUGUAGUAUAUGAAACGUUAAUAUCUACCACUUAUUUUUGAAGCUACAUUUUAGAUUUUAUUUUCAAGACAAAAGAGUCAUUUAAAAUUAUGCAAAUGAGCUGCCAAACGGCAGGCAUUAUGCAGAUUUGUGGAGGCAGGCAGCAGAGUGUUAACCCUCGGUGCUGCGGCUUGCUGCGGAGGGAGGGCUGCCACAGCAGCACCCUGUGAAUUCGUUUCAGCCCUUGCGCUCUCUAAUUACAACACUCCUGUGGCAGGGCCUGGGGUGUGAGGCUAACCUAAAGUGGGUUUAGGUUGAUGGAGGAGGUGUAUUUGCCGCGAUGUUCACCUCGCAGUCCUGCCUGGCACAAGCUGUACCCGAAUCCAGCCUGGGCGUCUCGGAAAAGACAAGCGUUGUGGCUGUCAGCUGCUGUUUCAUACAAGUUGUUUCCAGACUAUUUGAAGUGACUGUCAUGGGAGAAAUAUUAAAUUGCUUUUCAAAUGUCAGCAGUGCAGUAACACUUUAAAAACAAUUGACACUGUCAGCUAGAAGUCAUCCUAGCUCACUGGGCUGGCUGGUGUACACAAGAUACGGUAGCAGCCUUGAGUUUCAGGGGAGGAAGACUAUUAAAAGACCUACAUGUUGUGCUAAUUUGUGGGUUCAAGAGCUCAUUAUGCCACCCAGCUAUAAAGGUGGUGGGAAUACCUCUCAGCCAGGAACAGAUGGGUUUUGAUAGAAAUCCAAGGCCUGGUCUGCUCUGGAAGUUUGCCCUGAUCUCUGCAACCGAUGCCAACAGCUGACAUAGCCGCAUUGGUGCAAACGCUAGUGCUGAGCAAGAAGUCCAAUGGUUUAUAGCAGCAAAGUAUGGCAAAUGGCAGGAGCUGGCAAGUCCCCAGCACGCACAAGGGGGUAUGCCAACGGAGCUCAGCAAGAGUGUAAUAGAUGCAGAGAUCAGAGAAAACAUUGGCCCUGUGUAUUAUAUUUUUUUAAAGACGGAUUUGGAGUUUUCCUACUGCUCAGCAAUUUCAGCGAUGGACUGGUGAUCUGGUUAGUAAAAAACAAUAUAAUGCAAGAAACCCACCUACAUUGGUUUAGGUUUUUGUUGGUUUUGGAAGGCAUAGUUGAAAAGGAUAUAAAUCAGACACUGCUGCUGUACUGCGCUUGCCUUGCCAGCUUAAAAGAACUAAACUAGUUUAAAUAGACAGAAAUACUGUUUUGUGCUGGCCCACAUCUCAAAACAAAUCUGAGCACAAAGACGGUGGAAGGAAGUUGCUAGGAAACCUCACAGUGCGCUGGAGAAGUUUUGCAGCGCAGGCACCUGUAAGAGUCGUCACCACCUGCCAGCCUGGGCAUUUCCCAAAAACCGCCGUGCAAAAUUGUAGCGCACAAUUCAUUUCCGGAAACGAAACAUCAGGAAAUGCCUCACAGCCCAUUUUAAAUCAGUGCAGCUUCAGGGGACUGCAAGCCGUUCCCAGAACCAUCCCGGAAGAUUCGACACGAGGGUCCUGCCUGCACUAGUGCUGAAGCCCUGCCUUCUGUGUUCAGGGAAGGUCUGACCAGGCUGCUUUGUUAGCACAUGUCUGCACUCGUCUUAAUUAGGUUCUUAGGAAAGAUCCUUCCUUCCCUGGGCUCCAACCUUGCCCAUGCUGAGAUUUCAACAAGGUAACCUGAAUGAAGCCAGACUAACCCUCUGGAAGCAGGGCCACCCACUCUCAUCUCUUUUGCACUUAGUGUCCGGGUGGGCUUUGCCAGCAGAGAUUUCCUGCGGACGUGCUGCCACUUCAGGUGGUGUUUCUGCAUGGGGAUGCUCCAGAAAGCUGAGGUCAAUCAACUGAAAGAGUUGCAGGUCCACAGUGUCAACAUGCACAUGGUAAAGACCCCAUUUCUCUACCAAAUAGCCAUAAUUGUUAUAUCUUCAUCCUCUUAACAUUUGGUUUCUUUCCUAUGGCUACUUCAUAGCUGAACACGGCUGUUUCUAGAAGGAAACUGGUAGCUGAACAAUUAGGCAGUCAUCAAGGACAUAUUUUUUCAUUUGUCAUGAAGUCACCUGUCAGUCCAGCUCGUGACUGGGUUGAGACAGGCAAAGACAUCAGGUGUAGCUAGGGUUGCUUGUCUGUGCACUUCCUUGGUAGCUUUUUCCAAAAAUGGGUGAUGUGAGGCUCAGCGGUGGAGUGAUGGCUGCCAUGGGCAUGAUGAGCAGAGCAAGCUGGCCAUGGUUUAAGAGUCUCCAUGAAAUUCCCUAUGUGUGGGAACCCCCAGAUGGUGCAGCACCAGCAAAUUCCUGCCUGCCACCACCCUUCCUCGCUGUGUCUAAAUGCCUGCCCAGAGCAUUCCCCACUCCUCCCUGCCCACCUAUCAAGAUGGCCCAUCAUGGCUAAAAGCCAUUAGCACGCAGAAGAUGGACCCUGGGAUCUCCACUCCUUCGAAGAUAUGCAAUACAUUAGGAGAAACCAGGAAUACGUGUUAAACCUGAGAAAGCUCCUUUGAAGAAAGAUUCAUUUUAAAACAAGGAUUCAUUACACGGCAAGGGAGGCACUCUGGAGAAGAUGUGACGCUGAUAUGCGAUGCUGAUAUGUGAAGUGUGGCUGUUACAGGAUUUUCCAUUCUGCUUUAUCUAGUCCCUUGACACAUUAAAAAAAGGAAAGAUCCAGAUCUUCAGUUUAACUUGACAAAAGCUCUUAGGAAAUCCUUUUUUACACAACAUAUAAUCAACAUAUGGAACCAGCCCUGGAUAUUCCUGACAGGUUUAGACUCGCUCCUCACUCGAUGGUCUAGCAGUGUUCGUUAGCUGUGUCCCCA